UACGGGGGGGGCAAGCGUUGUUCGAAAUUACUGGGCGUAAAGGGCUCGUAGGCGGCCAACUAAGUCCGACGUGAAAUCCCCAGGCUUAACCUGGGAACUGCGUCGGAUACUGGAUGGCUUGAAUUCGGGAGAGGGAUGCAGAAUUCCAGGUGUAGCGGUGAAAUGCGUAGAUAUCGUAAGGAAGACCAGUGGCGAAGGCGGGUCUCUGGACAGUUCCUGACGCUGAGGCACGAAGGCCAGGGGAGCAAACGGG
RNAcentral lists this ribosomal RNA (253 nucleotides) under uncultured bacterium. Its description in RNAcentral is "partial 16S ribosomal RNA". It matches the Rfam family "Bacterial small subunit ribosomal RNA", at positions 524 to 776 of the family's 1533-position model. The record is from RNAcentral.